GACGAACGCUGGCGGCAUGCCUAACACAUGCAAGUCGAACGAGACCUUCGGGUCUAUGGGCGCACGUGUGCUUAACGCGUGGGAACCUGCCCUUGGGUUCGGAAUAACUCCCCUAAAGGGAUGCUAGUACCGGAUAAUGUCUUCGGACCAAAGAUUUAUCGCCUUUGGAUGGGCCCGCGUUGGAUGAUCUAGUUGUUAGGGUAAGAGCCUACCAAGGCGACUAUCCAUAUCUGUUCUGAGAGGAUGUUCAACCACACUGAGACUGAGACACGGCACAGACUCCUACGGGAGGCAGCAGUGGGGAAUAUUGGACCAUGGGCGAAAGCCUGAUCCAGCAAUGCCGCGUGAGUGCUGAAGGCCUUAGGGUUGUAAAGCUCUUUUACCCGGGAUGAUAAUGACAGUACCGGGAGAAUAAGCUCCGGCUAACUACGUG
This 433-nucleotide ribosomal RNA is filed under the name uncultured bacterium. RNAcentral describes it as "partial 16S ribosomal RNA". It matches the Rfam family "Bacterial small subunit ribosomal RNA", at positions 28 to 507 of the family's 1533-position model. The record is from RNAcentral.